CCAAAGGCUCUUUUCAGAGCCGCCUACAAUUUCAGGCCGAAGAGCU
This is a non-coding RNA of Ailuropoda melanoleuca (giant panda), 46 nucleotides long. The record is from Rfam. Lineage: Eukaryota; Metazoa; Chordata; Mammalia; Carnivora; Ursidae.